AGAGUUUGAUCCUGGCUCAGAACGAACGCUGGCGGCGUGCCUAACACAUGCAAGUCGAACGGAGAUAAGGGGCUUGCUCCUUAUCUUAGUGGCGCACGGGUGAGUAACGCGUGGAUAAUCUGCCUUGGAAUCUGGGAUAACAUCUCGAAAGGGGUGCUAAUACCGGAUAAGACCACGAGCUCUUCGGAGUUUGCGGUAAAAGGGGGCCUCUGUAUAUGCUUCUGUUUCAAGAUGAGUCCGCGUACCAUUAGCUAGUUGGCAGGGUAAUGGCCUACCAAGGCGACGAUGGUUAGCUGGUCUGAGAGGAUGAUCAGCCACACUGGAUCUGGGACACGGUCCAGACUCCUACGGGAGGCAGCAGUGGGGAAUUUUGCGCAA
Molecule: ribosomal RNA, 378 nt
Filed under: uncultured bacterium
Lineage: Bacteria
Description: bacterial SSU rRNA
Rfam family: Bacterial small subunit ribosomal RNA
Source: RNAcentral